GGAAUCUGGAGAUUUGUCACCGAAAAUGCCCUGGCUGCGGGACACCAUUCAGACAAAGUGACGUCCGUGAGGAAUAGUUUCUGUACCGGCCAACUCUUGGAACAUUCUCAGUAUGCAUUCUCUCCGCCUACAUUUGCUGGGAAGGCAUUUGCGUGCAUCUACAACAAUAUGAAAUCGUUCUUGGUUUAUAUGACGUAAGAUAUUCAUGCUCAUUGACUUGUUU
Molecule: unclassified non-coding RNA, 223 nt
Filed under: Hevea brasiliensis (rubber tree)
Lineage: Eukaryota; Viridiplantae; Streptophyta; Magnoliopsida; Malpighiales; Euphorbiaceae
Source: RNAcentral